GACGAACGCUGGCGGCGUGCUUAACACAUGCAAGUCGAGCGAGAAAGCGGCUUCGGCCGUGAGUACAGCGGCGAACGGGUGAGUAACACGUGGGCAACCUGCCCCGGAGACUGGGAUAACAGCCCGAAAGGGCUGCUAAUACCGGGUGAUGCGCGAUCUGCCAAGUAGGUCGCGCCAAAUGGUAGCUUCGGCUUCUGCUCUGGGAUGGGCCCGCGCCGGAUUAGCUUGUUGGUGAGGUAACGGCUCACCAAGGCGACGAUCCGUAGCUGGUCUGAGAGGACGAUCAGCCACACUGGGACUGAGACACGGCCCAGACACCUACGGGAGGCUG
Molecule: ribosomal RNA, 331 nt
Filed under: uncultured Actinomycetes bacterium
Lineage: Bacteria; Bacillati; Actinomycetota; Actinomycetes
Description: bacterial SSU rRNA
Rfam family: Bacterial small subunit ribosomal RNA
Source: RNAcentral